RNAcentral lists this ribosomal RNA (117 nucleotides) under Pteropus alecto (black flying fox). The record is from RNAcentral. Lineage: Eukaryota; Metazoa; Chordata; Mammalia; Chiroptera; Pteropodidae.
GUCUACGGCCAUGCCACCCUGAACACGCCCGAUCUUGUCUGAUCUCGAAAGCUAAGCAGUCGGGCCUGGUUAGUACUUGGAUGGGAGACCACCUAGGAAAACCAGGUGCUGUAGGCA